AGGAAUAUUGGUCAAUGGGCGCGAGCCUGAACCAGCCAAGUAGCGUGAAGGAUGAAGGUCCUAUGGAUUGUAAACUUCUUUUAUAGCAGAAUAAAGUGACCCACGUGUGGGUUUUUGUAUGUAUGCUAUGAAUAAGGAUCGGCUAACUCCGUGCCAGCAGCCGCGGUAAUACGGAGGAUCCGAGCGUUAUCCGGAUUUAUUGGGUUUAAAGGGUGCGUAGGCGGAAAGAUAAGUCAGCCUGUGAAAGUUUGCGGCUCAACCGUAAAAUUGCAGUUGAUACUGUUUUUCUUGAGUGUACAUAAGGUAGGCGGAAUUCGUGGUGUAGCGGUGAAAUGCUUAGAUAUCACACAGAAUAUCGAUUGCGAAGGCAGCUCACAAAGCCAUUAUUGACGCUGAGGCACGAAAGUGUGGGGAUCAAACA
This 421-nucleotide ribosomal RNA is filed under the name uncultured bacterium. RNAcentral's name for it is "bacterial SSU rRNA". It matches the Rfam family "Bacterial small subunit ribosomal RNA", at positions 357 to 774 of the family's 1533-position model. The record is from RNAcentral.